AGACGAAGGUGGCUAGCGUUGUUCGGUAUUACUGGGCUUAAAGCGUGUGUAGGCGGAAUAGUAAGCGUUUUGUGAAAUCCCUCGGCUUAACCGAGGAAUUGCUUGGCGAACUGCUAUUCUUGAGGCAAGUAGGGGUGCACGGAACUCUUGGUGGAGCGGUGGAAUGCGUAGAUAUCAAGAGGAACGCCAGUGGUGAAGACGGUGCACUGGGCUUGUCCUGACGCUGAGACACGAAAGCGUGGGGAGCGAACGGGAUUAGAUACCCCGGUAGUCCACGCUGUAAACGAUGUCUACUAGGUUGUGGGAGUUCUGACGCUGUCACGGCCGAAGCAAAAGUGCUAAGUAGACCGCCUGGGGAGUACGAUCGCAAGGUUAAA
Molecule: ribosomal RNA, 377 nt
Filed under: uncultured bacterium
Lineage: Bacteria
Description: bacterial SSU rRNA
Rfam family: Bacterial small subunit ribosomal RNA
Source: RNAcentral